UACGUAGGGUGCAAGCGUUGUCCGGAAUUAUUGGGCGUAAAGAGCUCGUAGGCGGUCUGUCGCGUCUGCUGUGAAAACUCAGGGCUUAACCCUGAGCUUGCAGUGGGUACGGGCAGACUAGAGUGCGGUAGGGGAGACUGGAAUUCCUGGUGUAGCGGUGAAAUGCGCAGAUAUCAGGAGGAACACCGGUGGCGAAGGCGGGUCUCUGGGCCGUAACUGACGCUGAGGAGCGAAAGCAUGUGAGCGAACAGG
This 252-nucleotide ribosomal RNA is filed under the name uncultured bacterium. Its description in RNAcentral is "partial 16S ribosomal RNA". It matches the Rfam family "Bacterial small subunit ribosomal RNA", at positions 524 to 776 of the family's 1533-position model. The record is from RNAcentral.